Neltuma alba is the source of this 114-nucleotide small nuclear RNA. RefSeq annotates it as U5 spliceosomal RNA. NCBI's taxonomy places the organism in Eukaryota, Viridiplantae, Streptophyta, Magnoliopsida, Fabales, Fabaceae. The transcript has a single exon. The record is from RefSeq and is a predicted model, not a curated record.
AGCGACACAGUGAGCACAGAGCGAACUAUUCUUUGGCCUUUUACGAAAGAAUACCGUGUGCUUGCUCAAUAAAGUGGCAUAUGCCUUUUGUGUAAAAACAAAAAAAAUGUAUUG